Molecule: non-coding RNA, 637 nt
Organism: Phoenix dactylifera (date palm)
Lineage: Eukaryota; Viridiplantae; Streptophyta; Magnoliopsida; Arecales; Arecaceae
Source: RefSeq, a predicted model, not a curated record
UCCUGGACUGCUUUUAUGUUGUGAUGGGAAAGGCUGCAAAAGAAGCUACCAUCUUUCUUGUCUGGAUCCACCUCUGCAAAGUAUUCCUCCUGGCCUUUGGCUUUGUAUAUGUUGCGUGAAAAAAAAGAUAGAGUUUGGGGUACACUCGGUAUCUAAAGGGAUUGAAUCCAUUUGGGAUGUUAAAGAGGGAAUGCAGAAUGGCAAGGUUUAUCUUGUCAAGUAUGAAGGUGUUUCCCAUGUCCAUAACCAUUGGAUUCCGGAAAGCCAGAUGCUUCUUGAAGCUCCUACACUUGUAUCUAAAUUUCAUAGGAGAUAUCAGAAAGAGAAGGUCAUAAGAUGGAAGCAAGAAUGGACUGAGCCUCACAGGUUGUUGCAGAAAAGGUUGCUGAUGCCCUGAAAUUAGCUGAUGAGUUUUUUGUGGGCUUGGUAAUAAUAUUUCAUAUUGUUAUCAUGAGUGGUUUGUGAAAUGGAAAGGUCUUGAUUAUGAGCAUGCUACAUGGGAGUUUGAAAACUCACCAUUUUUAUGCUCAUCUGAUGGGAAGAUGCUUAUAAAAGAUUAUGAGACUCGGCGCGAGGAGGCAAAGAAAGCCUCUGAUCCUUCAAGAAUUGAGAAGGUAGGUUUGAUAAGAUUGAUUUU